GAUGAACGCUGGCGGCGUGCCUAAUACAUGCAAGUCGAGCGAACAGACGAGGAGCUUGCUCCUCUGACGUUAGCGGCGGACGGGUGAGUAACACGUGGAUAACCUACCUAUAAGACUGGGAUAACUUCGGGAAACCGGAGCUAAUACCGGAUAAUAUAUUGAACCGCAUGGUUCAAUAGUGAAAGACGGUUUUGCUGUCACUUAUAGAUGGAUCCGCGCCGCAUUAGCUAGUUGGUAAGGUAACGGCUUACCAAGGCAACGAUGCGUAGCCGACCUGAGAGGGUGAGAGGCGACACGAGAACAGAAGGUCGGACCAGGCUCCAACGGGCGACAGCAGUAGGGAAGCUGCGGGAAUAGGGGAAAGCGUUACGAAACAACGGCACGUGAGUGAUGAAGGUCUUCGGAUCUUAAAACUCUGUUAUUAGGGAAAAACAAAAGUGAAAGUAACUAUACACGUCUUGACGGUACGUGAUAAGAAAGCCACGGCUAACUACGUG
RNAcentral lists this ribosomal RNA (497 nucleotides) under uncultured bacterium. RNAcentral's name for it is "partial 16S ribosomal RNA". It matches the Rfam family "Bacterial small subunit ribosomal RNA", at positions 28 to 507 of the family's 1533-position model. The record is from RNAcentral.